GAAAUGCGAUAAGUAAUGUGAAUUGCAGAAGUCCGUGAAUCAUCGAAUCUUUGAACGCACAUUGCGCCCUCUGGUAUUCCGGGGGGCAUGCCUGUCCGAGCGUCAUUGCGAACCCCUCAAGCACGACUUGUGUGAUGGGCCCUCCCGCGUCUUGGUCGUCAAGACGGGCCCGAAAUGCAGUGGCGGCUUCGCGGUUAUCCGAUCAGCCAGAGCGUAUGGGGACUUUCUCUCUGUCACACGCCCGCGGCGCGGACCGACGCCUGUCGACCUUUAUUCAUCUUUUUCUCGGUUGACCUCGGAUCAGGAAGGGAUACCCGCUGAACUUAAGC
RNAcentral lists this unclassified non-coding RNA (329 nucleotides) under plant metagenome. RNAcentral's name for it is "partial contains 5.8S ribosomal RNA, internal transcribed spacer 2, and large subunit ribosomal RNA". The stretch from base 1 to 105 matches the Rfam family "5.8S ribosomal RNA", at positions 50 to 154 of the family's 154-position model. The record is from RNAcentral.